AGUUCAUCUUCCCCGUUACUCCUCCUCUUCCAAUCUACAAACGUUGUUUUUUUUUUGUUUGCUAAAAUUUGGAAUCUACAAACGUUAGUUACAAUAAAGCAUCGAUUCUCAGAUUACCCAGAUAUGCUCACUUAGGAUGCUCCAAGAUGUCGUCAACGUUUAUAAGAAGGAGCUUGACAUGGAUCCAAGCAACGUAUGGUUACAAUCAUGUUUGGUAGGCACUCAAGUUUUUAGGUCGAGUCCUCACACUGUCUCAGAUCCAUUUGGGGAUGCUUUCCAAUGGCUCGAGAUAUCGAAGAACUAAAGAACAGAUUCUUCAGCAAUAGUUUCAGGACUCAGGAAGGUGAAGCAGUGGUGGAUCAGGAGGAUAAGAUGGAUAUACCUCCAAGGAAGGAGCCUGAGGUAGAGAAGAAACAAAAACCAGAGCAUCAACCUGAGUUGGAGUUUGUUGAAGAAAAGGAGAGUAAAGGGAGGAAGCAGAUAGCUUUAAAGAAGAUAGAUGAGCAGCUACCGUGCUUACCUCAAACACAAAAUCUUCGAAGAUGAGUCUGUGAUCAAAAUAUUUUACGAAGCAGAGAAAGCUCCUCAUGGACAGGUAUGUAUAGCUGUGAUUUGUAGAAUAUGAUCGAGCACGGAGAGACGCAAAGCUUGCAAACAAUGUCUUGAAGGAGAAAAAGAAAAGCAUAGAUAAACCAAGGGUUAUCAUAUCGAUCUCUCACACAACUUCUGCAAACCAUUUGAUUGCACAGGGGUAGUUGUUGGCAUUUAUACAGCCAACAGAUGGUGCAAACUGCAAUGUUGGAGUUUGAGGUAAUGUAUUUAGAACACGAUAUUAUUCAUCCUUCCAUCUUUGAUAGUUAACCCUUAUUGACUUCAUAUGUCACCCUAUGAAAUUGUAAAUGCGAGCAAGGUAUUGUGUCCAGAUAACUGUCUCCAUAGCAUCUGACUCUGCUGAGUUUGUAGCUUUCGACUCUGAUAUAAGUAAGCUGACUAAUAUCAGAGCUGCAGAGAUCUCCAACAAAUGAUAAUUUUGAACAACUUGCUAUGAACUAGACAUGACUGUGAUGUGCCUUAGAUACUCUAAGCGGUAAAGUUUCUGGAGAUACGCCCUACCUUGACACAGUUAUGUUCAGAUUUACACAGUUAUGCUCUGUCUUACAUUAAUUAGUUUGAUUCCCUCUUUCUAUUGUAUGGUUCAACAUGGAGAAGCUUUUUGUUUUCCUUGUCCAGGACCACUCUAUUGCACAAUAACCCGGCAGAUAUGUUGUCUGGCCCUUCCAUGGACUCUCCUCUUACGCCGUUCUACAGCCCCUCCCUCGCUACUUCCGAAACCAGAGAAUGAUCUCACCCCUCCCCAUUACCUCUACUUUUGUGUUAGGUCUCCACGUUCCUCUAUGUAGGCUUCUGGUUUACAAGUCAGUGCUUGGUUUUCUCGGAGGAGCCUUGGCUGAGGGUUUGUCAAACUGGCUUUAUGUCGUUUUUCUCUGAUCUACCAUGUGGUUCUUUCAUGUUUUUAAACACGUGCGUCCCUGUAUGAUAUUUAAUGGCGUCGGAGAGUUCUUCGUAAAUGCUCUUCUUUCUACCACUAUGAUCAUAAAAAUUAUU
This is a long non-coding RNA of Raphanus sativus (radish), 1605 nucleotides long. RefSeq lists it as uncharacterized. The transcript has 3 exons. The record is from RefSeq and is a predicted model, not a curated record. NCBI's taxonomy places the organism in Eukaryota, Viridiplantae, Streptophyta, Magnoliopsida, Brassicales, Brassicaceae.